RNAcentral lists this ribosomal RNA (216 nucleotides) under Glomeromycotina sp. RNAcentral describes it as "partial small subunit ribosomal RNA". The stretch from base 40 to 216 matches the Rfam family "Eukaryotic small subunit ribosomal RNA", at positions 686 to 864 of the family's 1831-position model. Lineage: Eukaryota; Fungi; Glomeromycota. The record is from RNAcentral.
GGGCCAGUAGGUUGGUCGUGCCACCGGUACGUACUGGUCUCACUGAUUCCUCCUUCCUGAAGAACCGUAAUGCCAUUAAUUUGGUGUUGCGGGGAAACAGGACUGUUACUUUGAAAAAAUUAGAGUGUUUAAAGCAAUCUAACGCUUGAAUACAUUAGCAUGGAAUAAUGAAAUAGGACGAUCGAUCCUAUUUUGUUGGUUUCUAGGAUUGACGUA